RNAcentral lists this long non-coding RNA (224 nucleotides) under Nicotiana benthamiana. Its description in RNAcentral is "long non-coding RNA (NBEN_LNC034097)". The record is from RNAcentral. Lineage: Eukaryota; Viridiplantae; Streptophyta; Magnoliopsida; Solanales; Solanaceae.
AUAUCCCCUCUUGUUGUAGCACCACAAUUUCUCACCUUAGACUCACCACACGAGGCCCAAGCAUACAACCACACUGUCUAAGCCCCAUAAGUCACAGAAUAUAUUCUUAUACAUUCCCAAAAGUACCACAUUAAAAAAUAAUUUACUCUGAAGAACUUCCUAUGAAUCUAAAUUUGUUACCAUCACCUUCCUGGUAUUGACAAAUAGAAUCUAUAAUCGACAUA